UAACCAUCAAGCCUAGCUUGGUAUUGGAGCCCGCGUCUGCGGCUCCCAAAAACAGUGGCAGUCUUUACAGACCCUAAGUGUAGUAACAUAUCUCGCUUUUGGACUCUGUAACGGCUCGCCAGAACCUAAAUUUUUCA
This 137-nucleotide unclassified non-coding RNA is filed under the name uncultured Ascomycota. RNAcentral's name for it is "sequence contains ITS2". The record is from RNAcentral. Lineage: Eukaryota; Fungi; Ascomycota.